GAUUAUUAAAGAAUUUCGGUUGUCGAUGGGGAUGCGUUCCAUUAGGCAGUUGGCGGGGUAACGGCCCACCAAACCUACGAUGGAUAGGGGUUCUGAGAGGAAGGUCCCCCACAUUGGAACUGAGACACGGUCCAAACUCCUACGGGAGGCAGCAGUGAGGAAUAUUGGUCAAUGGACGAGAGUCUGAACCAGCCAAGUAGCGUGAAGGAUGACUGCCCUAUGGGUUGUAAACUUCUUUUAUACGGGAAUAAAGUGAGCCACGUGUGGCUUUUUGUAUGUACCGUAUGAAUAAGGAUCGGCUAACUCCGUGCCAGCAGCCGCGGUAAUACGGAGGAUCCGAGCGUUAUCCGGAUUUAUUGGGUUUAAAGGGAAGCGUAGGCGGGUUGUUAAGUCAGUUGUGAAAGUUUGCGGCUCAACCGUAAAAUUGCAGUUGAUACUGGCGACCUUGAGUGCAACAGAGGUAGGCGGAAUUCGUGGUGUA
This 481-nucleotide ribosomal RNA is filed under the name uncultured bacterium. RNAcentral describes it as "bacterial SSU rRNA". It matches the Rfam family "Bacterial small subunit ribosomal RNA", at positions 196 to 677 of the family's 1533-position model. The record is from RNAcentral.